CCUACGGGAGGCAGCAGUGGGGAAUUUUGGACAAUGGGCGAAAGCCUGAUCCAGCAAUGCCGCGUGAGUGAAGAAGGCCUUCGGGUUGUAAAGCUCUUUUGUCAGGGAAGAAACGGUGAGAACUAAUAUCUCUUGCUAAUGACGGUACCUGAAGAAUAAGCACCGGCUAACUACGUGCCAGCAGCCGCGGUAAUACGUAGGGUGCAAGCGUUAAUCGGAAUUACUGGGCGUAAAGCGUGCGCAGGCGGUUUUGUAAGUCUGAUGUGAAAUCCCCGGGCUCAACCUGGGAAUUGCAUUGGAGACUGCAAGGCUAGAAUCUGGCAGAGGGGGGUAGAAUUCCACGUGUAGCAGUGAAAUGCGUAGAUAUGUGGAGGAACACCGAUGGCGAAGGCAGCCCCCUGGGUCAAGAUUGACGCUCAUGCACGAAAGCGUGGGGAGCAAACAGGAUUAGAUACCCUGGUAGUCCACGCCCUAAACGAUGUCUACUAGUUGUCGGGUCUUAAUUGACUUGGUAACGCAGCUAACGCGUGAAGUAGACCGCCUGGGGAGUACGGUCGCAAGNUUAAAACUCAAAUGAAUUGACCGGNUAGAGACGNGCGAGGACGACGACGAGGGAGGAG
This 620-nucleotide ribosomal RNA is filed under the name uncultured bacterium. RNAcentral's name for it is "bacterial SSU rRNA". It matches the Rfam family "Bacterial small subunit ribosomal RNA", at positions 338 to 956 of the family's 1533-position model. The record is from RNAcentral.